RNAcentral lists this ribosomal RNA (1180 nucleotides) under Lactiplantibacillus plantarum. RNAcentral describes it as "bacterial SSU rRNA". It matches the Rfam family "Bacterial small subunit ribosomal RNA", at positions 75 to 1250 of the family's 1533-position model. The record is from RNAcentral. Lineage: Bacteria; Bacillati; Bacillota; Bacilli; Lactobacillales; Lactobacillaceae.
GGUGCUUGCAUCAUGAAUUACAUUUGAGUGAGUGGCGAACUGGUGAGUAACACGUGGGAAACCUGCCCAGAAGCGGGGGAUAACACCUGGAAACAGAUGCUAAUACCGCAUAACAACUUGGACCGCAUGGUCCGAGUUUGAAAGAUGGCUUCGGCUAUCACUUUUGGAUGGUCCCGCGGCGUAUUAGCUAGAUGGUGAGGUAACGGCUCACCAUGGCAAUGAUACGUAGCCGACCUGAGAGGGUAAUCGGCCACAUUGGGACUGAGACACGGCCCAAACUCCUACGGGAGGCAGCAGUAGGGAAUCUUCCACAAUGGACGAAAGUCUGAUGGAGCAACGCCGCGUGAGUGAAGAAGGGUUUCGGCUCGUAAAACUCUGUUGUUAAAGAAGAACAUAUCUGAGAGUAACUGUUCAGGUAUUGACGGUAUUUAACCAGAAAGCCACGGCUAACUACGUGCCAGCAGCCGCGGUAAUACGUAGGUGGCAAGCGUUGUCCGGAUUUAUUGGGCGUAAAGCGAGCGCAGGCGGUUUUUUAAGUCUGAUGUGAAAGCCUUCGGCUCAACCGAAGAAGUGCAUCGGAAACUGGGAAACUUGAGUGCAGAAGAGGACAGUGGAACUCCAUGUGUAGCGGUGAAAUGCGUAGAUAUAUGGAAGAACACCAGUGGCGAAGGCGGCUGUCUGGUCUGUAACUGACGCUGAGGCUCGAAAGUAUGGGUAGCAAACAGGAUUAGAUACCCUGGUAGUCCAUACCGUAAACGAUGAAUGCUAAGUGUUGGAGGGUUUCCGCCCUUCAGUGCUGCAGCUAACGCAUUAAGCAUUCCGCCUGGGGAGUACGGCCGCAAGGCUGAAACUCAAAGGAAUUGACGGGGCCCGCACAAGCGGUGGAGCAUGUUGGUUUAAUUCGAAGCUACGCGAAGAACCUUACCAGGUCUUGACAUACUAUGCAAAUUCUAGAGAUUAGACGUUCCCUUCGGGACAUGAUACAGGUGGUGCAUGUUGUUCGUCAGCUCGUGUUCUGGAAUGUUUGGGUUAAGUCCCGCAACGAGCGCACCUUAUUUAUCAGUGGCAGGCAUAAGGUGGGCACUCUGUGAACUGCGGUGACAACCGAGAAGGUUGGAUGACGUUCAAUCCAUGCUAGACGUGGCUACACGUCUACAGUUGCAAUGUACAACCGAGUUGC